UUUCCGUAGGUGAACCUGCGGAAGGAUCAUUACAGAGUUCAAACCCUCAAGAUUACACCUCCCACCCUUGUGUAUUAUUACUUUGUGGCUCUGCCGAGCGGCCGCUCGCCAGCGGAGACCAAAACUCUUUUUAUUACUGUCGCCUGAGUACUACAUAAUAGUCUAUACGAUCAACAACGGCUCUCUUGGUUCUGACAUCAAUGAAGAACGCAGCAGACCGGACUAGCACAUGUCUCAACUCCAGUCACGCAUACACACCUCGUAAGCCCUCUUCUGAUU
RNAcentral lists this unclassified non-coding RNA (279 nucleotides) under plant metagenome. RNAcentral's name for it is "partial contains small subunit ribosomal RNA, internal transcribed spacer 1, and 5.8S ribosomal RNA". The record is from RNAcentral.